Macaca mulatta (Rhesus monkey) is the source of this 1676-nucleotide non-coding RNA. Lineage: Eukaryota; Metazoa; Chordata; Mammalia; Primates; Cercopithecidae. The record is from RefSeq and is a predicted model, not a curated record.
CUGUUUUAUCAGCAAGGUCUUUACGACCUGGAUUUUGUGCUGACCUCCUAUCUCAUCCUGUGACUUAGAACGCCUGAGAAUGACUUGAAAUGCAGCCCAGUAGAUCUCGACCUCAUUUUACCCAGCCCUCCGGUUCACACGCCUCUGACACUCCUGCCGAGGGCGCGACGUCUUGCCUGCCUGGCGUGCGGCAGCUCCGCGUGGGGCUUCAUCCCAGGUCUGGUGCUGGAGAGUUCAAGGAAAUACAGGACGGCAGAGGGGGCGUGGGUGCAGGGUGGGCUCCCAAUGCCUCAUCCAGUGGCCAUCUGGGGACAGGGUUGGAUGCCGCUGGUGCCUGACUCUGAUUCAUGAGAUGAGCGAGGAAUGACUGAACACUCUCUGGGAGCCUUGGGCAGACAUUUGCUUUUGGCUGAGGCUGGCACCCCAGGGUGGCCACCCUAACUCCCCAGCGUGUACCCUCCUGUGCCUGUGCGGCCCCCGUGCUUCUGCAGUUAGGACCUCUCUAGGCUGUUCCUGGGGCGCUGGGGGGGUUCUCCUCCUGGCAGGCCCUGGUGUGAGCAUGAAGCUGCACGACCAUCAGUGACUCGCCAGUUCUCUUCCUUGCCUCCCCUCCUCUGACCCUUCCCUCACCACACGACUGCGUUUUUGGGAUGCCCAAAGCUCCCUAGGACAGACCGUUUCCUGCUCUGUCUUCCCACGAAGCUGCCCCGUGCACGGUGCUCGCGUGAGGACACUCGGAUGCAGGGAUCACUCUGUGUCCUCAGAUGAGCGCCGGAUUUGUGCAGCGGGGACCGGCCCCUCUGCCUGGCAGUGGCACCAUCUGCUGCCAGUCCCUCAGGCCUGCAGAGCUCCCGCAGAGAGCCCGUCUGGCUUGGGCCUCCUCCUCUUCUCUGCCAGCGCUCAGAGGGAGGUGGCGCAAGGGCCAGGUGGCACCCACCUGCUCCCCUCCUCUCUCACCACCAGGCAGCCCCCCACCAAGCCCCCGCUGUGGGAAGCUUGAGGGUGGCUGACUUGGCCGGGGGCGGGUGGUGGUCACCGGGCUGUUUGCUGCUGAUAUUCCCAGGUCUCCGCUUUUGGGGAUGUGGAAGGAGACCCAUCCUGGUUUCCCAGUGGUUGGAUGGAGCAAAGUAAAUGGUUCUGGCUUCGAUGGUAGCAGAAGUGAUGAGUUGAGAGUGGCCUCUAGGCUGGGCACUUAAUUUCUAAUGUGAGUCUUCUCAAAAUUCUUUCUGCCUCUUCUACUAAGCAGCCAAAUUCCAGAGGAAAGACCCCGAACUCUAGCCUUGGCGUGAGGGAACAUGUAGGGGAGCCCUGCCCUUCCCGUGGGAUUCAGUGGCAGGAAAGCUGAUCCCGACUGACACAGGCCCUGUGGAAACUGCCUCUUGUUCAGAAAGAAGGAGCUGCUCCUGGCUAGAGGAGCCCUGGUGAUUCAUGUGGUGCAACCCUUUACAGAAGGGGAAACUGAGGCCCAGAGCGGGAAGGAUGGAGUCUCAGGUCACAGAGCCAGUUGGCUGGUGCCACAGCUGGGAGGCAGAUUGCUUGCCUUGCUGGUAUCUUCCUUGUUGAGUCACAAUUGCUUCCAGAGACUGGAUUUGUGGAAAUGCUUCUAAAGCAGAACAGAAAAACAAAUGGUCCGACUUUGGGGUGAGGGAGAGUUAAUAAAGAGAAUUUUUAUUGAA